This 253-nucleotide ribosomal RNA is filed under the name uncultured bacterium. RNAcentral's name for it is "partial 16S ribosomal RNA". It matches the Rfam family "Bacterial small subunit ribosomal RNA", at positions 524 to 776 of the family's 1533-position model. The record is from RNAcentral.
UACGUAGGGUGCAAGCGUUAAUCGGAAUUAUUGGGCGUAAAGCGCGCGUAGGCGGCUUUGCAAGUCGGGUGUGAAAGCCCUCAGCUCAACUGAGGAAGGGCGCCCGAAACUGCAGAGCUUGAGUGCCGGAGAGGGUGGCGGAAUUCCCCAAGUAGAGGUGAAAUUCGUAGAUAUGGGGAGGAACACCGGUGGCGAAGGCGGCCACCUGGACGGUAACUGACGCUGAGGCGCGAAAGCGUGGGUAGCAAACAGG